AGAUUCACUCCAACGGUCAACUGGAUUCUCAAUUAACCCUAUUGAUUCUGUCUCUCACAGUUGAAGUGUACCUAUGAUGGAAAUUACAGACAUCUCUCAUCUCUCAAGUGGGUCAAUUUGCACAAUCGGUGGCUGUCCAAAUACUUUUUUGCCCCACU
Long non-coding RNA from Pseudophryne corroboree (corroboree frog), 158 nucleotides. RefSeq lists it as uncharacterized. NCBI's taxonomy places the organism in Eukaryota, Metazoa, Chordata, Amphibia, Anura, Myobatrachidae. The record is from RefSeq and is a predicted model, not a curated record. The transcript has 2 exons.